UACGUAGGGUGCAAGCGUUAAUCGGAAUUACUGGGCGUAAAGCGUGCGCAGGCGGUGAUGUAAGACAGAUGUGAAAUCCCCGGGCUCAACCUGGGAACUGCAUUUGUGACUGCAUCGCUGGAGUGCGGCAGAGGGGGAUGGAAUUCCGCGUGUAGCAGUGAAAUGCGUAGAUAUGCGGAGGAACACCGAUGGCGAAGGCAAUCCCCUGGGCCUGCACUGACGCUCAUGCACGAAAGCGUGGGGAGUAAACAGG
This 253-nucleotide ribosomal RNA is filed under the name uncultured bacterium. RNAcentral's name for it is "partial 16S ribosomal RNA". It matches the Rfam family "Bacterial small subunit ribosomal RNA", at positions 524 to 776 of the family's 1533-position model. The record is from RNAcentral.